RNAcentral lists this long non-coding RNA (569 nucleotides) under Parus major (Great Tit). RNAcentral describes it as "lncRNA (ENSPMJG00000001820.1)". Lineage: Eukaryota; Metazoa; Chordata; Aves; Passeriformes; Paridae. The record is from RNAcentral.
CUGAAGGAAGGUGCUUGACAUUGCUGUAGCAGAGCUCGGGCUCAUCCUGGGCUCUUGCCUUUGUUGGUGUUUUUCUUUAGUUUAAUAAAUGAGUUGAACUUUGAUUUUCACCAAAACAUUAAAGCCUUGUUUACAACAAACGCACAUUGAGCAGAACACUACGAAGAACAUGCUAAUUCUAAAAUCCUAGACUUUCUCAACACCAUCAAAGCAAAGAACAAUUCACAAGAAGUACCUGAUAGACCUAACAGUGAUAUUCAAGAUGUUCAAGAACAAAGAUUCUUCGCAUCUGCACCUCUUCAAAACACAACAGCUGAGAAAAAGAAGAAAAUCAGUCAAGUCUCUCUUGCUGUGUUCUGGACUUUCCUCAUGUUACUUCUAAUCAGAAAAAGAUUUCUGUGCACAAUUAAUCUCCUGAAUUUGGUACCUGAAGAGCCAGCUUGAUGAAAAAGAAACUUCGACUCAAUCUCAGCAAAAACACAUAAAGUAAAAACUGGUAUGAUUACUUUUUGAGUUCUGCAUUACAAAUAGAAAAAAAAUUUAAACUCUAAUUUCUAAGUAAGGAAAGA